This 654-nucleotide ribosomal RNA is filed under the name uncultured bacterium. RNAcentral's name for it is "bacterial SSU rRNA". It matches the Rfam family "Bacterial small subunit ribosomal RNA", at positions 232 to 885 of the family's 1533-position model. The record is from RNAcentral.
CGCGGCCUAUCAGCUUGUUGGGGGGGUAAUGGCCCACCAAGGCGACGACGGGUAGCUGGUCUGAGAGGAUGGCCAGCCACAUUGGGACUGAGAGACGGCCCAGACUCCUACGGGAGGCAGCAGUGGGGAAUCUUGCGCAAUGGUCUAACGACUGACGCAGCGACGCCGCGUGUGGGAGGACGCCUUUCGGGGUGUAAACCACUGUUGCCCGGGACGAACAGCCCUUUUCGAGGGGUCUGACGGUACCGGGUGAGGAAGCACCGGCUAACUCCGUGCCAGCAGCCGCGGUAAUACGGAGGGUGCAAGCGUUGUCCGGAAUCACUGGGCGUAAAGGGCGCGUAGGCGGCUCAUAAAGGCUGUGGUGAAAGUUCGGGGCUCAACCCCGAAUCGGCCGUGGCGACUUGUGGGCUGGAGCACUGUAGAGGCGGGUGGAAUUCCGGGUGUAGCGGUGGAAUGCGUAGAGAUCCGGAAGAACACCAGUGGCGAAGGCGGUCUGCUGGGGUAAUGCUGACACUGAUGCGCGACAGCGUGGGGAGCAAACAGGAUUAGAUACCCUGGUAGUCCACGCCGUAAACGAUGGGCACUAGAUGCUUGGGGGAGCGACCCCCUGAGUGUCGUCGCUAACGCAUUAAGUGCCCCGCCUGGGGAGUACGG